GCGACUAGAAUAGAAGAUGUGCUUCAGGUGAAAGAAUAGAAAAAACAAUCUGGGCCUUCCGAUCGAAGAUAGACACUAUAGAUUACAGCGGAGCGAUCUGCACGGACAAUUAGCAAAAUGGUUCCUCGGUUCAGGUUAAUUUACGUCCGACAUCCUUCUCCUCCAAGCGCGAUCCCCUCCCCUCAUCAGCGGCAACAGCCCUCCUGGAUCAACCCCCUGUCGCCGAUCUCCUCUAGCUUGCCGAGGAUGAUGCCGGCGGUCUAGAUCUGGUGCCCAGUUAGCGAGUAAGCCCAGUUUAGCUGUUGUUCUAUCUCCUCUCAGAUGGCUCCUACCUGCUCGUCGACUGCGGUCGGCCUGCCCCGAAAGACCUCACCUUGUGCUGCCAUGCGACGUCGGGGGAACAAGCUCGCCCCAGUACUGUGCUCGGACGUCCAGAGCACUACCUCCCCUCAUCCUUUGUCCUGCCCAGCCCCACCAUUCUCCACCUUGCCCCCCAACCCCCGCGCGCCUAGCUCCGCCAUCUGCCAUUCUGUCGACGGCGGAGAAGAAAACUUCAGACUUCAGAUGGAUGAUGACGUGACAUCUGGAAGCAUAAGGACUAGAGAUGGAGAGAAGAAGCGUUUAGCAAAGAUAAUUUUAAUUAUUCCCUUGCAAUCGCAAGAAUUUAUCUGCAAGAUAAUUUCAAUUAUUUUGUUAAGCAUACACCGACACAUAUCUGUGCUCAACUGAAUCGUGUUUGUUUGGUGUGAUCUCUCCCAGUACAUGAAGCUCGAUGAGCAAGAAGCGGCGGAACUGGAGGGAAAAGCUAUAGCUUCUCGGUCAUGUACCCUCAAGAUAGUAAAGCUGAUGCAAUUAUUAAUGGCAAUGCUUGUUGAGAUAUGAUUAUAUUAGUCCUUUAUAACUAAGAGUUAGUCUUGCUGGCCAAGUACUAAAAAGAUCCUCUUAUGUAUCACUUGAUAUGUAUGCGAGUCUCUUGUUCCAGUUUGGCAUGUCAUGUAACAUUUGACAUGCAUGUGGCCCAGAGUGGACCCAGAAAAUGGAAUACCUUGCUGAAAUCCAUUUUCACCAGUAUAUUCAUAUGUGGUUGUGUA
This is a long non-coding RNA of Triticum dicoccoides, 1091 nucleotides long. RefSeq lists it as uncharacterized. The record is from RefSeq and is a predicted model, not a curated record. The transcript is spliced from 2 exons. NCBI's taxonomy places the organism in Eukaryota, Viridiplantae, Streptophyta, Magnoliopsida, Poales, Poaceae.